Molecule: ribosomal RNA, 497 nt
Filed under: uncultured bacterium
Lineage: Bacteria
Description: partial 16S ribosomal RNA
Rfam family: Bacterial small subunit ribosomal RNA
Source: RNAcentral
GAUGAACGCUGGCGGCGUGCCUAAUACAUGCAAGUCGAGCGAACAGACGAGGAGCUUGCUCCUCUGACGUUAGCGGCGGACGGGUGAGUAACACGUGGAUAACCUACCUAUAAGACUGGGAUAACUUCGGGAAACCGGAGCUAAUACCGGAUAAUAUAUUGAACCGCAUGGUUCAAUAGUGAAAGACGGUUUUGCUGUCACUUAUAGAUGGAUCCGCGCCGCAUUAGCUAGUUGGUAAGGUAACGGCUUACCAAGGCAACGAUGCGUAGCCGACCUGAGAGGGUGAUCGGCCACACUAGAACUGAGACACGGUCCAGACUCCUACGGGAGGCAGCAGUAGGGAAUCUUCCGCAAUGGGCGAAAGCCUGACGGAGCAACGCCGCGUGGGUGAUGAAGGUCUUCGGAUCGUAAAACUCUGUUAUUAGGGAAGAACAAAUGUGUAAGUAACUAUGCACGUCUUGACGGUACCUAAUCAGAAAGCCACGGCUAACUACGUG